UCGAGAAUAUUUCGCAAUGGGCGAAAGCCUGACGAAGCGACGCCGUGUGAAUGAAGAAGGCCUUCGGGUUGUAAAGUUCUGUCGCCUAAGAACAAGAGUAUGAGAGUAAUAUUUUUAUACUUUGAGGGUAUUAGGAAAGGAAGCACCGGCUAACUCCGUGCCAGCAGCUGCGGUAAUACGGAGGGUGCAAGCGUUAGUCGGAAUUAUUGGGCGUAAAGGGUGCGUAGGCGGACAUGUAAGUCAGACGUGAAAUUUCGGGGCUCAACCCCGAAGCUGCAUCUGAAACUGCGUGUCUAGCAGGAUGGCGGAGAAAACGGAAUUCCACGUGUAGCGGUGAAAUGCGUAGAUAUGUGGAAGAACACCUGUGGCGAAAGCGGUUUUCUAGCCUACCCUGGACGCUGAGGCACGAAAGCAAGGGGAGCAAACAGG
RNAcentral lists this ribosomal RNA (429 nucleotides) under uncultured bacterium. Its description in RNAcentral is "bacterial SSU rRNA". It matches the Rfam family "Bacterial small subunit ribosomal RNA", at positions 355 to 776 of the family's 1533-position model. The record is from RNAcentral.